CCUACGCGCGGCUGCAGUGGGGAAUAUUGCACAAUGGGGGGAACCCUGAUGCAGCGACGCCGCGUGGGUGAAGGAGUACUUCGGUACGUAAAGCCCUAUCAGCAGGAAAGAAAAUGACGGUACCUGACUAAGAAGCCCCGGCUAACUACGUGCCAGCAGCCGCGGUAAUACGUAGGGGGCAAGCGUUAUCCGGAUUUACUGGGUGGAAAGGGAGCGUAGACGGCAGUGCAAGUCCGGAGUGAAAGCCCGGGGCGCAACCCUGGGACUGCUCUGGAAACUGUAAAGCUGGAGUGCGGGAGGGGCAGGCGGAAUUCCUGGUGUAGCGGUGAAAGGCGUAGAUAUCAGGAGGAACACCGGCGGCGAAGGCGGCCUGCUGGACCGUAACUGACGUUGAGGCUCGAAAGCGUGGGGAGCAAACAGGAUUAGAUACCCUUGUAGUC
This 440-nucleotide ribosomal RNA is filed under the name uncultured bacterium. RNAcentral describes it as "partial 16S ribosomal RNA". It matches the Rfam family "Bacterial small subunit ribosomal RNA", at positions 338 to 795 of the family's 1533-position model. The record is from RNAcentral.